GAUGAACGCUGGCGGCGUGCCUAAUACAUGCAAGUCGAGCGAACGGACGAGAAGCUUGCUUCUCUGAUGUUAGCGGCGGACGGGUGAGUAACACGUGGAUAACCUACCUAUAAGACUGGGAUAACUUCGGGAAACCGGAGCUAAUACCGGAUGAUAUUUUGAACCGCAUGGUUCAAAAGUGAAAGACGGUCUUGCUGUCACUUAUAGAUGGAUCCGCGCUGCAUUAGCUAGUUGGUAAGGUAACGGCUUACCAAGGCAACGAUGCAUAGCCGACCUGAGAGGGUGAUCGGCCACACUGGAACUGAGACACGGUCCAGACUCCUACGGGAGGCAGCAGUAGGGAAUCUUCCGCAAUGGGCGAAAGCCUGACGGAGCAACGCCGCGUGAGUGAUGAAGGUCUUCGGAUCGUAAAACUCUGUUAUUAGGGAAGAACAUAUGUGUAAGUAACUGUGCACAUCUUGACGGUACCUAAUCAGAAAGCCACGGCUAACUACGUGCCAGCAGCCGCGGGUAUACGUAGGUGGCAAGCGUUAUCCGGAAAUAUUGGGCGUAAAGCGCGCGUAGCGGUUUUUUAGUCUGAUGUGAAAGCCCACGGCUCAACCGUGGAGGGUCAUUGGAAACUGGAAAACUUGAGUGCAGAAGAGGAAAGUGGAAUUCCAUGUGUAGCGGUGAAAUGCGCAGAGAUAUGGAGGAACACCAGUGGCGAAGGCGACUUUCUGGUCUGUAACUGACGCUGAUGUGCGAAAGCGUGGGGAUCAAACAGGAUUAGAUACCCUGGUAGUCCACGCCGUAAACGAUGAGUGCUAAGUGUUAGGGGGUUUCCGCCCCUUAGUGCUGCAGCUAACGCAUUAAGCACUCCGCCUGGGGAGUACGACCGCAAGGUUGAAACUCAAAGGAAUUGACGGGGACCCGCACAGGCGGUGGAGCAUGUGGUUUAAUUCGAAGCAACGCGAAGAACCUUACCAAAUCUUGACAUCCUUUGACAACUCUAGAGAUAGAGCCUUCCCCUUCGGGGGGGACAAAGUGACAGGUGGUGCAUGGUUGUCGUCAGCUCGUGUCGUGAGAUGUUGGGUUAAGUCCCGCAACGAGCGCAACCCUUAAGCUUAGUUGCCAUCAUUAAGUUGGGCACUCUAAGUUGACUGCCGGUGACAAACCGGAGGAAGGUGGGGAUGACGUCAAAUCAUCAUGCCCCUUAUGAUUUGGGCUACACACGUGCUACAAUGGACAAUACAAAGGGCAGCGAAACCGCGAGGUCAAGCAAAUCCCAUAAAGUUGUUCUCAGUUCGGAUUGUAGUCUGCAACUCGACUACAUGAAGCUGGAAUCGCUAGUAAUCGUAGAUCAGCAUGCUACGGUGAAUACGUUCCCGGGUCU
This 1372-nucleotide ribosomal RNA is filed under the name uncultured bacterium. Its description in RNAcentral is "bacterial SSU rRNA". It matches the Rfam family "Bacterial small subunit ribosomal RNA", at positions 28 to 1381 of the family's 1533-position model. The record is from RNAcentral.